UACGGAGGGGACUAGCGUUGUUCGGAAUUACUGGGCGUAAAGCGCACGUAGGCGGAUUUGUAAGUCAGGGGUGAAAUCCCGGGGCUCAACCUCGGAACUGCCUUUGAUACUGCAAAUCUCGAGUCCGGAAGAGGUGAGUGGAAUUCCUAGUGUAGAGGUGAAAUUCGUAGAUAUUAGGAAGAACACCAGUGGCGAAGGCGGCUCACUGGUCCGGUACUGACGCUGAGGCGCGAAAGCGUGGGGAGCAAACAGG
This 253-nucleotide ribosomal RNA is filed under the name uncultured bacterium. RNAcentral's name for it is "partial 16S ribosomal RNA". It matches the Rfam family "Bacterial small subunit ribosomal RNA", at positions 524 to 776 of the family's 1533-position model. The record is from RNAcentral.